Molecule: small RNA, 188 nt
Filed under: Lactobacillus porci
Lineage: Bacteria; Bacillati; Bacillota; Bacilli; Lactobacillales; Lactobacillaceae
Description: HNH endonuclease-associated RNA and ORF (HEARO) RNA
Rfam family: HNH endonuclease-associated RNA and ORF (HEARO) RNA
Source: RNAcentral
UAACCCCUCACUGAAGUGAGGGGCUUGGAGCGCAAGCUUCAAGCCUCAAUAUCUUUGUGGGGUGUUCCGGAGAAAUCCGGAACUCAUUGUCUAGACUAAGCUUUCCAGUCGGCUUCGGCUGGCAGGAAAAAGGAACUACGUUAUCUUUGUUAUCACACCAUGGGAUGAUGCUCUAGUCCCAUGCGCUG